UAGGGAAUCUUCCGCAAUGGACGCAAGUCUGACGGAGCAACGCCGCGUGAGUGAAGAAGGAUUUCGGUUCGUAAAACUCUGUUGUUAGAGAAGAACAGCGCAUAGAGUAACUGUUAUGCGUGUGACGGUAUCUAACCAGAAAGCCACGGCUAACUACGUGCCAGCAGCCGCGGUAAUACGUAGGUGGCAAGCGUUGUCCGGAUUUAUUGGGCGUAAAGAGCUUGUAGGCGGUUCGUCGCGUCUGGUGUGAAAGCCCAUCGCUUAACGGUGGGUUUGCGCCGGGUACGGGCGGGCUAGAGUGCAGUAGGGGAGACUGGAAUUCUCGGUGUAACGGUGGAAUGUGUAGAUAUCGGGAAGAACACCAAUGGCGAAGGCAGGUCUCUGGGCUGUUACUGACGCUGAGGCUAGAAAGCGUGGGUAGCAAACAGG
RNAcentral lists this ribosomal RNA (429 nucleotides) under Bacteroidota bacterium. RNAcentral's name for it is "Bacteroidetes bacterium partial 16S ribosomal RNA". It matches the Rfam family "Bacterial small subunit ribosomal RNA", at positions 355 to 776 of the family's 1533-position model. Lineage: Bacteria; Pseudomonadati; Bacteroidota. The record is from RNAcentral.